UACGUAGGGGGCAAGCGUUGUCCGGAAUCAUUGGGCGUAAAGAGCGUGUAGGCGGCUCGAUAAGUCCGCUCUGAAAGCCCGGGGCUCAACCCCGGGAGGCGGGCGGAUACUGUCGAGCUAGAGUCCGGAAGAGGCGAGUGGAAUUCCUGGUGUAGCGGUGAAAUGCGCAGAUAUCAGGAGGAACACCAAUGGCGAAGGCAGCUCGCUGGGACGGUACUGACGCUGAGACGCGAAAGCGUGGGGAGGCAAACAGG
RNAcentral lists this ribosomal RNA (254 nucleotides) under uncultured bacterium. RNAcentral describes it as "partial 16S ribosomal RNA". It matches the Rfam family "Bacterial small subunit ribosomal RNA", at positions 524 to 776 of the family's 1533-position model. The record is from RNAcentral.